CCUCAGGCCCAGCCCACUCUUCAAAUUAUCCCAGCCUAACACCAUACCUCCAUUCACCAGUCCAAUACACUAGCCAUACCCGACCCAUUUUAGCUUCUCCUCAACAAAACAGCAACAUACACCAACUCCAUGAAUAGACGACAACACCAACAUCUACGUCACGAACCCGACCACCUCGAACCUGACCCAGCUCCGAAACCCGUCCCCAACAACAUCGAUUCAACCCGAACUAACAAAUCAUCUAAAAGACCACGCAGGUGUCCUCUGACAUUCAAAAUUUGUUGGUAACGGAUAGAGUUGUACGAACUAGUACUAGUUCUACAACUAAGCCUUAUCCUUAAUCAAAUUUUUGAAUUUCCCCUGUAAAAUUCCCAAAAAAUAACCUCGAUUUCACUUCUCCCACAUUGAUAGAAAUGGGAUUCGAUCUCCCCAAUCUCUUCUAUAUAAAUGCGGCCUUGCUAAGCUGAAAAAGAUGGAGGUCUUGAAGGCUGAAAAUGGAGCACUCAAGCAAACCCUCGUUCUACUAAAAAUCUUUAUCUUCGAAAAAGGUCGGUGGUUAAUCGACGUUGUCAAGUUGAGGAAUGAUUCCUGGUGGUGUUGGAAUCCGACAUUAGCUCGAAGGUCUCGUUUUGCUGCCCAAGAACAGCCUUGGAGUUCAAAUGGACAUUUUUCUCCUCACAUUUCAUAAUAGGGCCUACAUGGACCACCUUCUCGAAUCAAUUUUGAAGCCUCCAAAAUCGACCUUAUGGUAUACCGAAGGCAAGGAGUCGAAGGAAGAAGAAAUAAGUUAAAAGCCAUCUUUGAAACGGCCAAGGGACUUGAAAGUCCCAUUUUUCAUUUGUUUUGCUUAUUUAUUUAUUUAGUCCUUUAUUGUUGUCUUUAUUUAUUUCUUUUCAUUAUUCAUUCCUUUUGGGCCUCGAAGCCAAAACUGUAUUUAAUACAGGUGGAGCAAGAUUCGAGCCAAAGGUUCGAAAACUAGAUUAGGACAGGUGAAACGGGUCAAAGGCUCAACUAGACUAGGACAGAUUUUGUUGGUUUGGGCCAAUGGCUUAAAUCCCUUAUUCCUCCCCUUCCCCUGUUCCCUAUGUUUGUUUUCCUUAUGUGCUUUCCGAACUUAGUUAGAUCCUUAGUUAAGUCGCUAAAAACUGGUUUUGCAUAAACACCAAAA
Capsicum annuum is the source of this 1168-nucleotide long non-coding RNA. RefSeq lists it as uncharacterized. Lineage: Eukaryota; Viridiplantae; Streptophyta; Magnoliopsida; Solanales; Solanaceae. The record is from RefSeq and is a predicted model, not a curated record. The transcript is spliced from 2 exons.